RNAcentral lists this long non-coding RNA (417 nucleotides) under Phoenix dactylifera (date palm). RNAcentral describes it as "long non-coding RNA (PDAC_LNC001271)". The record is from RNAcentral. Lineage: Eukaryota; Viridiplantae; Streptophyta; Magnoliopsida; Arecales; Arecaceae.
CGCGAUGCGUGUGAGUUUAGGAUGGCAACCGGAUUGGUUCGGACCAGAGAUCGAAUUGAUUAUGCAUAAAGUCAAAAAUUUUCAACCUAAAUCUAAUUUAUUUAUUAAAAAAUAAAAAUUUAAAUUUAAAUUUAAUUUAUUUAUUAAAUAAAAAAUUUGAUUCUAUCUAUAUAAUUUAUUAUUAAAUAGAUUAAAUAGAUUAGAUGGGCUAGAUGGAUUUUUAAUUAGUUAAAUAAAUUUAAAUAUGUUAAGUGGGUCAGAUAAACAAAUUAAACAGCUUUUAAACAAGUUAAACGGAUCGAGUUAUAACCUAAACUAACUAUUAAAUAAAUUAAAAUUUUAAAUUUGAAUCCAAUAUAUUUAAUAAAUAGAUUUAUGAUAUAAAUUUGUUCACGUCAAAUUUAAAUUUACUUAAAG